UACGGAGGAUGCAAGCGUUAUCCGGAAUUAUUGGGCGUAAAGCGUCCGCAGGUGGUUUUUCAAGUCUGCUGUCAAAGACUAGAGCUUAACUCUGGGAGGGCGGUGGAAACUGAAAGACUAGAGACCAGUAGGGGUAGCGGGAAUUCCCAGUGUAGCGGUGAAAUGCGUAGAGAUUGGGAAGAACAUCGGUGGCGAAAGCGCGCUACUGGGCUGGGUCUGACACUCAGGGACGAAAGCUAGGGGAGCGAAAGGG
Molecule: ribosomal RNA, 253 nt
Filed under: uncultured bacterium
Lineage: Bacteria
Description: partial 16S ribosomal RNA
Rfam family: Bacterial small subunit ribosomal RNA
Source: RNAcentral